UGCAGUCGAACGCUUUGUGGUUCAACUGAUUUGAAGAGCUUGCUCAGAUAUGACGAUGGACAUUGCAAAGAGUGGCGAACGGGUGAGUAACACGUGGGAAACCUACCUCUUAGCAGGGGAUAACAUUUGGAAACAGAUGCUAAUACCGUAUAACAAUAGCAACCGCAUGGUUGCUACUUAAAAGAUGGUUCUGCUAUCACUAAGAGAUGGUCCCGCGGUGCAUUAGUUAGUUGGUGAGGUAAUGGCUCACCAAGACGAUGAUGCAUAGCCGAGUUGAGAGACUGAUCGGCCACAAUGGGACUGAGACACGGCCCAUACUCCUACGGGAGGCAGCAGUAGGGAAUCUUCCACAAUGGGCGAAAGCCUGAUGGAGCAACGCCGCGUGUGUGAUGAAGGGUUUCGGCUCGUAAAACACUGUUGUAAGAGAAGAAUGACAUUGAGAGUAACUGUUCAAUGUGUGACGGUAUCUUACCAGAAAGGAACGGCUAAAUACGUGCCAGCAGCCGCGGUAAUACGUAUGUUCCAAGCGUUAUCCGGAUUUAUUGGGCGUAAAGCGAGCGCAGACGGUUAUUUAAGUCUGAAGUGAAAGCCCUCAGCUCAACUGAGGAAUUGCUUUGGAAACUGGAUGACUUGAGUGCAGUAGAGGAAAGUGGAACUCCAUGUGUAGCGGUGAAAUGCGUAGAUAUAUG
RNAcentral lists this ribosomal RNA (689 nucleotides) under Weissella cibaria. RNAcentral's name for it is "bacterial SSU rRNA". It matches the Rfam family "Bacterial small subunit ribosomal RNA", at positions 56 to 700 of the family's 1533-position model. Lineage: Bacteria; Bacillati; Bacillota; Bacilli; Lactobacillales; Lactobacillaceae. The record is from RNAcentral.